UGCAAGUCGAGCGGUAGAGAGAAGCUUGCUUCUCUUGAGAGCGGCGGACGGGUGAGUAAUGCCUAGGAAUCUGCCUGGUAGUGGGGGAUAACGUUCGGAAACGGACGCUAAUACCGCAUACGUCCUACGGGAGAAAGCAGGGGACCUUCGGGCCUUGCGCUAUCAGAUGAGCCUAGGUCGGAUUAGCUAGUUGGUGAGGUAAUGGCUCACCAAGGCGACGAUCCGUAACUGGUCUGAGAGGAUGAUCAGUCACACUGGAACUGAGACACGGUCCAGACUCCUACGGGAGGCAGCAGUGGGGAAUAUUGGACAAUGGGCGAAAGCCUGAUCCAGCCAUGCCGCGUGUGUGAAGAAGGUCUUCGGAUUGUAAAGCACUUUAAGUUGGGAGGAAGGGCAGUUGCCUAAUACGUAACUGUUUUGACGUUACCGACAGAAUAAGCACCGGCUAACUCUGUGCCAGCAGCCGCGGUAAUACAGAGGGUGCAAGCGUUAAUCGGAAUUACUGGGCGUAAAGCGCGCGUAGGUGGUUUGUUAAGUUGGAUGUGAAAUCCCCGGGCUCAACCUGGGAACUGCAUUCAAAACUGACUGACUAGAGUAUGGUAGAGGGUGGUGGAAUUUCCUGUGUAGCGGUGAAAUGCGUAGACAUAGGAAGGAACACCAGUGGCGAAGGCGACCACCUGGACUAAUACUGACACUGAGGUGCG
RNAcentral lists this ribosomal RNA (704 nucleotides) under uncultured bacterium. Its description in RNAcentral is "bacterial SSU rRNA". It matches the Rfam family "Bacterial small subunit ribosomal RNA", at positions 56 to 755 of the family's 1533-position model. The record is from RNAcentral.